This 291-nucleotide ribosomal RNA is filed under the name uncultured bacterium. Its description in RNAcentral is "partial 16S ribosomal RNA". It matches the Rfam family "Bacterial small subunit ribosomal RNA", at positions 209 to 509 of the family's 1533-position model. The record is from RNAcentral.
GACAAUCCGCUAGAAAGAGUGGGCUCGCGUCCGAGUUAGGUAGUUGGUGAGAUAACAGCCCACCAAGCCGACGAUCGGUAGCCGGACUGAGAGGUUGAACGGCCACAGUUGGGACUGAGACACCGGCCCAGACUCCGUACGGGGAGGCAGCAGUGGAGGGAUAUUGGUCAAUGGGGGAAACCCUGAACCAGCAACGCCGCGUGAGGGAUGACGGUCUUCGGAUUGUAAACCUCUGUCCUCUGUGAAGAUAAUGACGGUAGCAGAGGAGGAAGCUCCGGCUAACUACGUGCC